AGCAGUCGCCGCGGUAAUACGUAGGUGGCAAGCGUUGUCCGGAAUUAUUGGGCGUAAAGCGCGCGCAGGCGGAUAGGUCAGUCUGUCUUAAAAGUUCGGGGCUCAACCCCGUGAUGGGAUGGAAACUAGUAGGCUAGAGUAUCGGAGAGGAAAGCGGAAUUCCUAGUGUAGCGGUGAAAUGCGUAGAUAUUAGGAAGAACACCAGUGGCGAGGGCGGCUUUCUGGACGAAAACUGACGCUGAGGCGCGAAGGCCAGGGGAGCGAACGGGAUUAGAUACCCCCGUAGUCCCUGUCUCUUAUACC
RNAcentral lists this ribosomal RNA (303 nucleotides) under uncultured bacterium. RNAcentral describes it as "partial 16S ribosomal RNA". It matches the Rfam family "Bacterial small subunit ribosomal RNA", at positions 507 to 808 of the family's 1533-position model. The record is from RNAcentral.